UUUCGCAAUGCCCGAAAGGGUGACGAAGCGACGCCGCGUGUGGAAAGAAGGCCUUCGGGUUGUAAACCACUGUCGGGAGUUAAGAAAGGUGUACGGGUAAAUAGUCCGUGCAUUUGACAAAAGCUCCGGAGGAAGCCACGGCUAACUCUGUGCCAGCAGCCGCGGUAAUACAGAGGUGGCAAGCGUUGUUCGGAAUUAUUGGGCGUAAAGAGCACGUAGGCAGCCCUGCAAGUCAGCUGUGAAAGCCUCCUGCUUAACGGGAGAAGUGCAGUUGAAACUACGGGGCUAGAGUGCGGAAGGGGAGAGUGGAACUUCUGGUGGAGCGGUGAAAUGCGUAGAUAUCAGAAGGAACACCGGCGGCGAAAGCGGCUCUCUGGUCCGUAACUGACGCUGAGGUGCGAAAGCCAGGGGAGCAAACGGGAUUAGAUACCCCGGUAGUCCUGACCGUAAACGAUGGGCACUAAGUAGAGGGGUUUU
RNAcentral lists this ribosomal RNA (477 nucleotides) under uncultured Planctomycetales bacterium. RNAcentral's name for it is "bacterial SSU rRNA". It matches the Rfam family "Bacterial small subunit ribosomal RNA", at positions 364 to 832 of the family's 1533-position model. Lineage: Bacteria; Pseudomonadati; Planctomycetota; Planctomycetia; Planctomycetales. The record is from RNAcentral.